GUAGUCCACGCCGUAAACGUUGGGCGCUAGAUGUGGGGCUCAUUCCACGAGUUCCGUGUCGCAGCUAACGCAUUAAGCGCCCCGCCUGGGGAGUACGGCCGCAAGGCUAAAACUCAAAGGAAUUGACGGGGGCCCGCACAAGCGGCGGAGCAUGUUGCUUAAUUCGAUGCAACGCGAAGAACCUUACCUAGGCUUGACAUGCACGGAAAUCUCACAGAGAUGUGAGGUCCUUUAAAGGGUCGUGCACAGGUGGUGCAUGGUUGUCGUCAGCUCGUGUCGUGAGAUGUUGGGUUAAGUCCCGCAACGAGCGCAACCCUCGUUCUAUGUUGCCAGCACGUCAUGGUGGGGAC
Molecule: ribosomal RNA, 350 nt
Filed under: uncultured Modestobacter sp.
Lineage: Bacteria; Bacillati; Actinomycetota; Actinomycetes; Geodermatophilales; Geodermatophilaceae
Description: bacterial SSU rRNA
Rfam family: Bacterial small subunit ribosomal RNA
Source: RNAcentral